AGGGAAUCUUCGGCAAUGGGCGCAAGCCUGACCGAGCAACGCCGCGUGAGCGAAGAAGGCCUUCGGGUUGUAAAGCUCAGUCACCCGGGAAGAGAGACCAAGGGAGGGAAUGCCCUUGGAGAGACGGUACCGGGAGAGGAAGCUCCGGCUAACUACGUGCCAGCAGCCGCGGUAAUACGUAGGGAGCAAGCGUUGUCCGGAAUCACUGGGCGUAAAGCGUGCGUAGGCGGUUUGUUAAGUCUGAAGUGAAAGGCCAUGGCUCAACCAUGGGAAUGCUUUGGAAACUGGCAGACUUGAGUACUGGAGAGGCAAGGGGAAUUCCACGUGUAGCGGUGAAAUGCGUAGAGAUGUGGAGGAAUACCAGUGGCGAAGGCGCCUUGCUGGACAGUGACUGACGCUGAGGCACGAAAGCGUGGGGAGCAAAC
Molecule: ribosomal RNA, 425 nt
Filed under: uncultured bacterium
Lineage: Bacteria
Description: bacterial SSU rRNA
Rfam family: Bacterial small subunit ribosomal RNA
Source: RNAcentral